This is a long non-coding RNA of Mytilus californianus (California mussel), 1591 nucleotides long. RefSeq lists it as uncharacterized. Lineage: Eukaryota; Metazoa; Mollusca; Bivalvia; Mytilida; Mytilidae. The transcript has 3 exons. The record is from RefSeq and is a predicted model, not a curated record.
GCUUUUUUCACAACAAGAACAAAGAGAAUGAAAUCGUUUGAACUCAAGAUAUAUUGGGAUAUCCAACAGUCAAAGUAUUUCUUGGAAUUCAAACAUCCGUAGUGUUCGAGAAUUUGAGAACAAAAAAGACACGAAACCUAAUUAUCGUCGGUAGUUACACUUUUCCGUCACCUGAUGAAUAAAUUAACAAAAUAUAAGAAGAGGACAGUGAUAUUUUGAAUGUAACGAACAGGAGACAGCAACAAGAAACAACAACUAGCUAAAAGACAGAGCGAUAAACACUGCUCAACAAGUAACGGAUGUCUAAACCGCACGUUAUGGUAAUCUCUCGAGUUUCAAAAACUUUGAUUUAUCAGCCGUGUUAGACAUCGGAGACGAAAGGAAGUUGUUUGUCACUUAGAUAAAGUAAAUUGGUGUCAUAGAAUUUGCUUGAAACAUAAUGGCUUCGUCCAUCAGGAAAGCACAGUCGCCAUUGUCUUGUCAGCUUUGUGACCAUCCUAAUGUUAUAAAAUGGAAGUGUAAGGAUUGCGCAAUAUUAAUGUGUGACAACUGUAAAGAACGUGUCCAUCCCAGAUUUAAAUUGUCCGAAACACAUACUAUAAUUUUCAUAACAGAUAUUGGAAAGAAGGAAAGUGAUAUUUCUGCUCAGAUUUCCCGAACAGUAAUAUCGUCACUACUAUCUACAUAUGCGUCAGAUUUUGCUGCUUUCAAUAAAAUCCAAUAUUCUGGCAAUGACACAAUUUACUGCUCGUACAAUACAAAUGAGAACGGAUACAAGUUUUUAAUUAUUCGGUUAUUGAAGGAAUCAAUAAAAGUAUUACAGGAAUUAGAUAUAGAAUGUUCUGAUUUUGCACUCGGCAGUAAAGAUGAAAUAUACUAUGGACAGUUCCGUGCUUCUGAGUUAAAAGUUUUAUCAAUUGGUGGUAUAACAAAUACAGUUUUUAGCACUUCACCGAUGAUUAUAUUGGGCCUACAUAUCAAUAAUGACAACGAAAUAAUUCUAGGUCUUCGAGAACAAGGACCACCAUUUCCGGUCACAGAAUUCUGUACCAGACAAAUUGCUGUAUUCGACGAAAACAACAAACGAAAAUUAACGAUUGAAUACGAUCAAAAGGGUAAAAAAACUGUUUAGUUAUAUCGAUAGAAUAUCCACUGAUUCAUAUUAUAACAUCUAUGCAAUUGAUCUAUUUGAAAAUGUAGAAGGACGUUUAGUCGCGUUAGAAAGAUCUGGUGGUAUAAAAUUCAUAUACAAUGGUCAUAAAAGUAUCAAUACACCACAAACACCGUUCAAUCCAAAUGGUAUUGUUAUCACAAAAACAAAUACCAUAAUAGUCUCCGAUAAAAAUAACCACUCUCUACAUGCAUUGAAUACAGAGGGAGAGCUGAUUGGCUUACAAACUGUAACAUAUCUUGGAAUAAAACGUCCGUUGAGUCUGUGCAUGGAUAGUGAAGGAUUUCUAUUGAUUGGAUGCAACUCUAGCUCCAUCGAAGCAGGUGAUGCCAAAAUUCACGUCGUUAAAAUAUAAUUGAGAUUUAUUUCUAUAAGAAAUAACAUUUAUUUUACUCCUUAUGUAAUAUAGUGUUCAAUUUU